UCGUCCGUCAGCGCCAGCGCCCCCUUCCACGUCCGUCAUCGCGGCCUAUCCCUCCACAGCCACCAGCACCGCGUCCGCCCUCUAGCUCCGCCGCCGCUGCCGUCUCCCUCCAGAUCUGCCUCCGCCGUGGUCCAACUCCGUCGACAACGCCAUCAACAGGGUCUCUCAAGUCUUCCUUCAGAUAAAAGUUCAGUUUUCAACUCUCAGAAUUCAGGUAAUGGCUAUAGUACUGUGGGGGUGAAGACUGGAUGGUAAAACUAGCAAAGAUACGAAGAUUGGAGCAACCCUUGUAGCAACAUCUUCCUUCGGUUCUUAAUAUUAUGAACAAAAUUAGAUUUUGAGAGUUGAGACUCUUAGUUUCUGGUUCCUGUACUUAGUAUCAAUUUACGUGUUGUGAAUUUUGGGAAUGUAGAAUUCACUUGUUGUGGAUUCAGGGAUUGCACCAAUCUUAAUCUCUAGCUAUCGGCAUGCACUUUGACAAUUUGAUUAGUACUAAAAUGUUCAAGUGCGUGACGGGUU
Long non-coding RNA from Oryza brachyantha (malo sina), 519 nucleotides. RefSeq lists it as uncharacterized. The transcript has 3 exons. Lineage: Eukaryota; Viridiplantae; Streptophyta; Magnoliopsida; Poales; Poaceae. The record is from RefSeq and is a predicted model, not a curated record.